GGAGCCCUGCCUUUCUGAGUGGAGGGUAGCAAAGGACCAUCUUAGAAACUUGGCUGAGCUCUCAAACCAGCAGGAUUCAGAGGCAGAGCGCUGGGGACAAUGAAUGUCAACCAGAAGGUUCUAUGGGCUUCGAAGCUGUGAGAGUUAAGAUUGUCAAUUGGAAAAAACAGAACAUCUCCCAAGAGUCUCCUCUGGAUGUCUCUGAGGGAUUUUCUAGAUCAGAUCAGCUGAGGAGAGAUGACCUAUUCUGAAGGCACAAGGUGACGAGCCACCUCUGGCUCCUACUGGCAUAACUUCCUCAUCUCCUAUCGUGAGCUAAAAUAAAGCCUGCUCUCCUC
This 338-nucleotide long non-coding RNA is filed under the name Mus pahari (shrew mouse). Its description in RNAcentral is "RIKEN cDNA 4930504D19 gene (MGP_PahariEiJ_G0005055.1)". Lineage: Eukaryota; Metazoa; Chordata; Mammalia; Rodentia; Muridae. The record is from RNAcentral.